GAACGAUUUGGAGAUGAUCUGGCCGCAGCACUGGUUGCCAGGGUUGAUUCAACAGACCUGCUGGCUGGCGGGUGCCCUCUUCCUCUCCACAGCAGCUGAUGAGUAGCUGCCCUUGCUCUGUGCUAGAACCUCCAAACAAGCUCUCAUGGUCUCUUUGUAGGCAGGCAUAGGGUAGCCAAGCCUUCAAGACUCCAGAUAUAUGGACCAAAAUAAAAUUAUGUGAAAUUCUAUAU
This 233-nucleotide small nuclear RNA is filed under the name Cricetulus griseus (Chinese hamster). Its description in RNAcentral is "7SK RNA". It matches the Rfam family "7SK RNA". From Rfam's summary of the family: 7SK was discovered as an abundant small nuclear RNA in the mid-70s but a possible function has only recently been suggested. Two independent studies have found that 7SK RNA binds the CDK9/cyclin T complex (known as elongation factor P-TEFb). P-TEFb activates transcription by phosphorylating the C-terminal domain of RNA polymerase II. Lineage: Eukaryota; Metazoa; Chordata; Mammalia; Rodentia; Cricetidae. The record is from Rfam by way of RNAcentral.